UACGUAGGGGGCUAGCGUUGUCCGGAUUUAUUGGGCGUAAAGAGCGUGUAGGCGGCCAGGUAGGUCUGCUGUGAAAACUCGAGGCUUAACCUCGAGAUGUCGGCGGAAACCAUCUGGCUAGAGUCCGGAAGAGGAGAGUAGAAUUCCUGGUGUAGCGGUGAAAUGCGCAGAUAUCAGGAAGAACACCCGUGGCGAAGGCGGCUCUCUGGGACGGUACUGACGCUGAGACGCGAAAGCGUGGGGAGCGAACAGG
Molecule: ribosomal RNA, 253 nt
Filed under: uncultured bacterium
Lineage: Bacteria
Description: partial 16S ribosomal RNA
Rfam family: Bacterial small subunit ribosomal RNA
Source: RNAcentral